CUUAGUCGGAGGCGAUAAUUCCGCUUGGUCGUGUACAGCGCGGAUUUGUUUAUGUUUCCUAUACUAUAGCGAUGUUAUAAUAAUGUAUUCUCUAGCUGUAUUCGGUUCCAACGAGUGUUGGAGGAACAUUCUAAGAGAAUUACGAUUUUCGAGUAUGUAUUGGUAACGUUAUUAUUAAAAUAUAAUAUAAUAUUUUAUAUAAAGAGUAAUACUUGCAAUAUUGUAUAUUAAUAACAUUGAAUGUUACUGAUAUAUACUCUGAAAUCAAACAUAGUUGCUUUAGGACAUUUCUCGAACACUCAGAAAGUGUACAUAUACAUGAUAUAUAUUCAUUACAUUUAUCUAAAGUUUUUUUUUUUUUGUUGAAGCUUUGAAACCUCAAAAGAGAGAUUUAUUUAUUUUAUAUGUUGUGUUAACAGUUUACAGUAAAGACUGGAUAAAUGCAAGAAAAUUAGAGCCCAAACAUUGCAUAUAAUAUAUAAUAUAUAUUUGUUAUAUUUAUCUACAUUUUUUAUUGUUAAAGCUUUGAAAGCUCAAAAGAGGGAUUUAUUUAUUUUAUAUGUUGUGUUUAAUAGUUUACAGUAAUGACUGAAUAAAUGCAAGAAAAUUAGAACCCAAACAUUGCAUUUAUCCAGUCGAGGUUUCUAUUCUGUGUUUACUUUAAUUUAGCUCAAGUCGAACGAGUAGAAAAGGACAGAGAGUGAAAGAGAAAGAGGUCCGAAGAACAAAAGCAAAUGGCCGAAACGUAUCGGUGAGACUAUAGAUCCUGUCUUGCACUUAUCCAGUCUUUACUGUAUAUCCGAGAUAAAUAAGCUACAUAGUAUUGGAAAUGCGUCUUUGCUAACAUACUAACCCAAAACGCUAGAGAAGUAUACCUAAAUGCAAUUUUAUUGUGCAAAGAAAUUUAAUUCUUAUUAUUGUUUGUUUAACUCUCAAUGUUAUUACGUAACAAUGUUUUUCAUUUAAUUUCGUACUCGACAAUUAAAAGUAUAUGGUUGAAAGAUCUCAAUAUCAUAUUGAAAAUGCGUGCAAAAAAUAGAAACGUGGAAGAGAUACGCACGAAGGGAAUUUUUCAUGUAAAUUAUUUAUCGCACUCUCGUGUCUGUAUUGGCUCUACAACAGAGUUUAAAAAUCGAAUAAACGAUUUAUAUUUAAUUAUAAAUAAAUGGACGUUAGGUAUUCUUGGAAUUAUCAGGAAAUUAAUCCGUUCGGAAUAUAUUUCCCGUGGAAAAAGUAAAUGAAAUUUUGUGUUAAAUUGUAUAUUUACCCGAUCCUGGAAACGAAUCGAAUGGAGAUGCACGCUGAUGUUCUUGCAAAUGUGAUCGUCGAAAAUAUAAAAUCUUGUUAAUUGAAAAA
Hylaeus anthracinus is the source of this 1356-nucleotide long non-coding RNA. RefSeq lists it as uncharacterized. NCBI's taxonomy places the organism in Eukaryota, Metazoa, Arthropoda, Insecta, Hymenoptera, Colletidae. The transcript is spliced from 2 exons. The record is from RefSeq and is a predicted model, not a curated record.